This 730-nucleotide ribosomal RNA is filed under the name uncultured bacterium. RNAcentral describes it as "bacterial SSU rRNA". It matches the Rfam family "Bacterial small subunit ribosomal RNA", at positions 28 to 776 of the family's 1533-position model. The record is from RNAcentral.
GAUGAACGCUGACAGAAUGCUUAACACAUGCAAGUCGACUUGAAACAACUUCGGUUGUGGAAAGUGGCGGACGGGUGAGUAACGCGUAAAGAACUUGCCCUUCAGUCUGGGACAACCAUUGGAAACGAUGGCUAAUACCGGAUAUUAUGGAACUCUCGCAUGGGAGGAUCAUGAAAGCUAUAUGCGCUGAAGGAGAGCUUUGCGUUCCAUUAGCUAGUUGGUGAGGUAACGGCUCACCAAGGCGACGAUGGAUAGCCGGCCUGAGAGGGUGAUCGGCCACAAGGGGACUGAGACACGGCCCUUACUCCUACGGGAGGCAGCAGUGGGGAAUAUUGGACAAUGGACCAAAAGUCUGAUCCAGCAAUUCUGUGUGCACGAUGAAGGUUUUCGGAUCGUAAAGUGCUUUCAGUUGGGAAGAAGAAGGUGACGGUACCAACAGAAGAAGCGACGGCUAAAUACGUGCCAGCAGCCGCGGUAAUACGUAUGUCGCAAGCGUUAUCCGGAUUUAUUGGGCGUAAAGCGCGUCUAGGCGGGUUCAUAAGUCUGAUGUUAAAAUGCGGGGCUCAACUCCGUAUUGCGUUGGAAACUGUGAACCUAGAGUAUCAGAGAGGUGGGCGGAACUACAAGUGUAGAGGUGAAAUUCGUAGAUAUUUGUAGGAAUGCCGAUGGAGAAGUCAGCUCACUGGAUGAAUACUGACGCUAAAGCGCGAAAGCGUGGGUAGCAAACAGG